RNAcentral lists this ribosomal RNA (488 nucleotides) under uncultured bacterium. RNAcentral's name for it is "SSU rRNA". It matches the Rfam family "Bacterial small subunit ribosomal RNA", at positions 26 to 521 of the family's 1533-position model. The record is from RNAcentral.
AGAUUGAACGCUGGCGGCAUGCCUUACACAUGCAAGUCGAACGGUAACAGGUUAAGCUGACGAGUGGCGAACGGGUGAGUAAUAUAUCGGAACGUGCCCAGUAGUGGGGGAUAGCCCGGCGAAAGCCGGAUUAAUACCGCAUACGACCUACGGGUGAAAGCGGGGGAUCGCAAGACCUCGCGCUAUUGGAGCGGCCGAUAUCAGAUUAGCUUGUUGGUGGGGUAAAAGCCCACCAAGGCGACGAUCUGUAGCUGGUCUGAGAGGACGACCAGCCACACUGGGACUGAGACACGGCCCAGACUCCUACGGGAGGCAGCAGUGGGGAAUUUUGGACAAUGGACGAAAGUCUGAUCCAGCCAUGCCGCGUGCGGGAAGAAGGCCUUCGGUUGUAAACGCUUUGUCAGGGAGAAAGUCUCGGGUUAAUACCUUGGGAUGAUGACGGUACCUGAAGAAUAAGCACCGGCUAACUACGUGCCAGCAGCCGCGGU